Molecule: ribosomal RNA, 508 nt
Filed under: uncultured Staphylococcus sp.
Lineage: Bacteria; Bacillati; Bacillota; Bacilli; Caryophanales; Staphylococcaceae
Description: partial 16S ribosomal RNA
Source: RNAcentral
CACGUAGUUAGCCGUGGCUUUCUGAUUAGGUACCGUCAAGAUGUGCACAGUUACUUACACAUAUGUUCUUCCCUAAUAACAGAGUUUUACAAUCCGAAGACCUUCAUCACUCACGCGGCGUUGCUCCGUCAGGCUUUCGCCCAUUGCGGAAGAUUCCCUACUGCUGCCUCCCGUAGGAGUCUGGACCGUGUCUCAGUUCCAGUGUGGCCGAUCACCCUCUCAGGUCGGCUAUGCAUCGUUGCCUUGGUAAGCCGUUACCUUACCAACUAGCUAAUGCAGCGCGGAUCCAUCUAUAAGUGACAGCAAGACCGUCUUUCACUUUUGAACCAUGCGGUUACAAAAUAUUAUCCGGUAUUAGCUUCCGGUUUCCCGAAGUUACUCCCUAGUCUUAUACGGUAGGUUAUCCGAGUGUUACUCACCCGUCCGCCGCUAACAUCAGAGAGCAAGCUUCUCGUUCGUUCGCUCGGAUUGCAUUGUAUUAGGCACCGCCGCCGAGUCGUUCAUCCGU